Long non-coding RNA from Macrobrachium nipponense, 676 nucleotides. RefSeq lists it as uncharacterized. The record is from RefSeq and is a predicted model, not a curated record. The transcript has 2 exons. NCBI's taxonomy places the organism in Eukaryota, Metazoa, Arthropoda, Malacostraca, Decapoda, Palaemonidae.
GUGUGGCGAGAAGUCUCGGAAUGCAUCAAGAGAGCUGAGGGGUAACCAGCUAUUCCUGCAGCAGGGCGGAGACAGGGCCAAAUAGUCCGUAUAUUCGGGAGGUGCGGCAGUUGCACUCAAUGGGGUUCUGGUUAUCACACACCCAUCUCAUCUUUUCUACUUCCCUUCCAUCCUGUGUCGAAUGCUGGUGAACUUCCACGAGGCUAACGUCAUAUGCAAGCAGAUUCUUGGACAAUGAAUUUCCACAUGAAAAACUGAAUCCAAACUGAAAGGUUCUGACCCGUUUCUCUUCACCAUACAAGUUACAUGCUUUCCCAUUUUGACAAAACACUGCCUUAAAUGACACAUCAAACAAUUUUGUCAUAUUUGUCUGAUUACUGCCUUACAAUUAGCUUUCGUCUUAACAGCCUUACUAUUUAAUACAGGGUGUCCAUAAAGGCCCAGUACCAUUACAAGUAUUUAUGACUCAGAAUGGUGCUGUGACUUUAUGGACACCCUGUAUUUAAAGGGUUUCUUUUCUGGUGUUUCGCUGGAAGGUUAAUAGAUGUUUUAACAUUGUUUUGGAAUUGUUUUUGUGUUAUUACUUUUAUCGGUUUCUUAAGGCUUUUAUUUCCUAGAAGGGCCCUUUGUAGACUGGGAAAAUGCCUUGCAAUAACAAUAAUCAAUGUAGCAUCUA